GCCAUUCAGUCUUCAGAAGAGGAUAAAUGUGCGUGCUGCCUGCCCUUUCUCAUGGACACUGCGCUGACCUCCCAGGGCGCUCCAAGUCAUGAAGACGCUCCUCUUUAUCUGUGCUGUUCUUUUCUUUCUGGCCCCAGGCUUUGUUAUUUACCUGGAAAUUGCCCCGUCCUCAAAUGCUUGCACUCUGGACAUGAACAACCUGAUGCAAUUGCAGGGCCCCUGCACUGACAGUGUGGAGGACUCCCACAGAGGCCAUCGAGACACCAGCUGUGACGACCAGAGGCACUCAGAGCACACACCAGGAAAAUCACCAGAUGGCAACUGCAUCCUCAUCCUACCUCUAGGGAUGCUUUGAGCUGAAACAUGAGCCUUUUCCUAAUUGUUUUCUGGAUUCCAAGACUGGGCUCAUAGUUUGUUGCAGCCAUUAAGCUUUGGUUUAGCUUUGUUUCCACAGAAAUACCCCUUGGUUGUGGUUAGUUUGGAUUAUGAGGACCCUGGCUCCAAUGUCUUCACUGAUAACGUGAUUCUGAUAGUGGUCGUGCAAAUAAUCUCUCAAGGGCUCCAGUGCAUAUUUAUAGCCACGCACUGCGCAGCAAGUGGCCUCACUGUCAUUAGCACAACACAAACAUGAUGAAAAGUAAAGGCUAAUUUAUUGAUACUGUUUUUUCAGUGAACCUGAUGGUAUGACUUCCUAGUCUCCUGCUGAGACAAAAGACAAGCCGGCCCUACUGGUGACAGAGGGUGCCACAUACAUCCGACUUUUCCUCACGGAAGUCAAUAAAAAACCGUAAGACUGAGUAAGCUUCAGUGUCCUGCAUUCCCACGUAAGCCAAGUAAAACCCUCCCAGAAGUAAAUGCUACAACAGAGCAUUAGACAGAGCCUGCGGCUCACCUGCAGUGGGGCCUCCCUGGGCUGAUGGCAUGAAGGCAUCUGCUCCACUUCAACCAGUCCAAUAUUCUCUCUGCCUCACAGCCACGGUCACCCUGGGAAAAUCUUCCCCACGCGCCUCUUCGGUGGAACUCAACAUGCCUCUGGUCUGAAGCAACACAUUCAUGAAUUCCUGCCU
Non-coding RNA from Heterocephalus glaber (naked mole-rat), 1067 nucleotides. NCBI's taxonomy places the organism in Eukaryota, Metazoa, Chordata, Mammalia, Rodentia, Bathyergidae. The record is from RefSeq and is a predicted model, not a curated record.